RNAcentral lists this ribosomal RNA (398 nucleotides) under [Eubacterium] brachy. RNAcentral's name for it is "bacterial SSU rRNA". It matches the Rfam family "Bacterial small subunit ribosomal RNA", at positions 28 to 407 of the family's 1533-position model. The record is from RNAcentral. Lineage: Bacteria; Bacillati; Bacillota; Clostridia; Peptostreptococcales; Anaerovoracaceae.
GAUGAACGCUGGCGGCGUGCUUAACACAUGCAAGUCGAGCGAGAAGUUUUGAAAAGAUUCUUCGGAUGAAAUUUAAAAUGGAAAGCGGCGGACGGGUGAGUAACGCGUAGGCAACCUGCCCCAUACAAAGGGAUAGCAUUUGGAAACGAAUAUUAAUACCUUAUGAAACUUAACUAGUGCAUGCUAGGUAGGUCAAAGAUUUAUCGGUAUGGGAUGGGCCUGCGUCUGAUUAGCUAGUUGGUGAGGUAACGGCUCACCAAGGCGACGAUCAGUAGCCGACCUGAGAGGGUGAACGGCCACAUUGGAACUGAGACACGGUCCAAACUCCUACGGGAGGCAGCAGUGGGGAAUAUUGCACAAUGGGGGAAAUCCCUGAUGCAGGCAACGCCGCGUAACGA